Molecule: ribosomal RNA, 473 nt
Filed under: uncultured bacterium
Lineage: Bacteria
Description: bacterial SSU rRNA
Rfam family: Bacterial small subunit ribosomal RNA
Source: RNAcentral
CGCUUUCACUCCUACGGGAGGCAGCAGUGGGGAAUAUUGCACAAUGGGCGCAAGCCUGAUGCAGCCAUGCCGCGUGUAUGAAGAAGGCCUUCGGGUUGUAAAGUACUUUCAGCAGUGAGGAAGGCGGAGUCGUUAAUAGCGGCCUCGUUUGACGUUAGCUGCAGAAGAAGCACCGGCUAACUCCGUGCCAGCAGCCGCGGUAAUACGGAGGGUGCGAGCGUUAAUCGGAAUUACUGGGCGUAAAGCGCAUGCAGGUGGUUUGUUAAGUCAGAUGUGAAAGCCCGGGGCUCAACCUCGGAAUUGCAUUUGAAACUGGCAGACUAGAGUACUGUAGAGGGGGUAGAAUUUCAGGUGUAGCGGUGAAAAUGCGUAGAGAUCUGAAGGAAUACCGGUGGCGAAGGCGGCCCCCUGGACAGAUACUGACACUCAGAUGCGAAAGCGUGGGGAGCAAACAGGAUUAGAUACCCUGGUAG